RNAcentral lists this long non-coding RNA (379 nucleotides) under Mizuhopecten yessoensis (Yesso scallop). RNAcentral's name for it is "uncharacterized LOC110454678, transcript variant X2". The record is from RNAcentral. Lineage: Eukaryota; Metazoa; Mollusca; Bivalvia; Pectinida; Pectinidae.
UGUUCCGUAUUAACAGUAUAUUUUAGAGAAGGUAAUGUCAACAGUCACUAGAAUGAUUUGUUCUGUAUUAACAGUAUAUUUUAGAGAAGGUAAUGUCAACAGUCACUAGAAUGAUUUGUUCUGUAUUAACAGUAUAUUUUAUGGAAGGUAAUGUCAACACUCACUAGAAUGAUGUUUUCCGUAUUAACAGUAUGUUUUAUAGAAGGUAAUGUCAACAGUCACUAGAAUGAUUUGUUCUGUAUUAACAGUAUAUUUUAGAGAAGGUAAUGUCAACAGUCACUAGAAUGAUGUGUUCCGUAUUAACAGUAUAUUUUAUAUCUUUACUGGUAUAUUAUAAGUUUUCAAAUGUCAUCAAAUAAUUUUUAUUUUCUUUCGUACA